RNAcentral lists this ribosomal RNA (507 nucleotides) under uncultured bacterium. Its description in RNAcentral is "partial 16S ribosomal RNA". It matches the Rfam family "Bacterial small subunit ribosomal RNA", at positions 28 to 507 of the family's 1533-position model. The record is from RNAcentral.
GACGAACGCUGGCGGCGUGCCUAAUACAUGCAAGUCGAACGCAUUUUCUUUCACCGUAGCUUGCUACACCGAAAGAAAAUGAGUGGCGAACGGGUGAGUAACACGUGGGUAACCUGCCCAUCAGCGGGGGAUAACACUUGGAAACAGGUGCUAAUACCGCAUAAUUCCAUUUACCGCAUGGUAGAUGGGUGAAAGGCGCUUUUGCGUCACUGAUGGAUGGACCCGCGGUGCAUUAGCUAGUUGGUGGGGUAACGGCCUACCAAGGCUGCGAUGCAUAGCCGACCUGAGAGGGUGAUCGGCCACACUGGGACGGAGACACGGCCCAGACUCCUACGGGAGGCAGCAGUAGGGAAUCUUCGGCAAUGGACGCAAGUCUGACCGAGCAACGCCGCGUGAGUGAAGAAGGUUUUCGGAUCGUAAAACUCUGUUGUUAGAGAAGAACAAGGAUGAGAGUGGAAAGUUCAUCCCUUGACGGUAUCUAACCAGAAAGCCACGGCUAACUACGUG